Brassica napus (rape) is the source of this 1276-nucleotide long non-coding RNA. RefSeq lists it as uncharacterized. NCBI's taxonomy places the organism in Eukaryota, Viridiplantae, Streptophyta, Magnoliopsida, Brassicales, Brassicaceae. The record is from RefSeq and is a predicted model, not a curated record. The transcript is spliced from 4 exons.
AUUUUUGACAUUAUUUACCGGACUUUAUUCUAUUAUGCCCUAAAAACUCUAUGGUUUAUUCUAAUAUAUUCCACUCUUAAUAAAUAAUUUCUUUUCAUUUAUUUUAAAAUCGAAAACGUGGCUAAGUACAGAAAAGCCCUUAUUGAAUUUACUUAUCUACAGAUCCAACCUAAACUAACCCACCCGAUCCAUGCCCAAUCGGAUCAAACCCGAAUUUCCCUUAACCCUAGCACGUGUUUCUCUUCCUCAUUCUCAAUCUCUCAAAAAAAAAAAAUCUACCAGGAUUCUCUGUAAAUAGCAUAUUCACUCUGUUUCCCCUCACCUUUCCGUUGUUCCCUUCUCAGUCUCCAGAGUUCGCCGGUGACAGAGUGCUCACCAAGUUCUGGGAACUGACUCACUUCUCUUUCGUCGGUACCGCUGCAGCUUAUGGUUUGUUUAGCCGUAGGAGUGUUGAAUCAUCAGUUAAUUCAAGGAUGAGCUGUGUAGAUGAGUCUUCAUUGUCUUAUGUGAAUGCCCGAACUUCCGUGUAUCUCUAGUGAAUGAGAGAAAAUCUGUCGCUGAAUCAAGUGCAAGCUUGGAACUCAUUUUCAAGGGAGAUCUAAGGUGCGGUUGCUCGACCAGCUUAUGGUAUUGAUGGCCAUGUCGUGCACCAACCAUUACGCUUUUCCGGUUAGGAGUUUAAGGUCCGGUUUGUGAGAUAAGAUAGCUCUUGAGCACAGCUCUUGAGCACAGCUCUUGAGCACAGCUCUUGAGCACAGCUCUUGUGAUGAAGCUGUAAAUGAGAAACCUGGAGAAUCUUCAUCCCUCAUCUUGUCGCUUUUAUGAUUUGCACUUUCAUCCCAAUAGUUGCAAAUCUACUGAAAUUUUGAUUUGAUGCUUGUGUUUUUCUCUUUUGGAGCAAGUUGAGUAGACUUACAUCAUGGUGAAACCAGACGGCAUACAACGAGGUUGGAGAAAUCAUCUCUCGUUUUAAGAAGAAGGGCUUUAAACUUAUUGGACUUGAGAUGUUUCAGUGUCUCAAAGAAUUGGCUGAGGAAUUUUUGCUUGCUUGAUGGGUAUAUGAACAUAGUAAUGACGCAGACAGAGCAGUAUAUGAACGGACAACUUAAAAUUAAUAUUGAUGUUAUAUCAAUUAGAUACAGUAUGAUGUUUUGUAUAAAAUUAUGUUCUUGAGAAAAUUUAUGAAUGAUUUUAUUUUGUUGUAGUGUUUGGAUGGUUUGAUGUUUUAAGACAAUAAUUAAAAUUAUUAAAAUAAUAAAACUAACAAAUUAACAUA